RNAcentral lists this ribosomal RNA (871 nucleotides) under Phellinus cinereus. RNAcentral's name for it is "eukaryotic LSU rRNA". It matches the Rfam family "Eukaryotic large subunit ribosomal RNA", at positions 66 to 915 of the family's 3401-position model. Lineage: Eukaryota; Fungi; Basidiomycota; Agaricomycetes; Hymenochaetales; Hymenochaetaceae. The record is from RNAcentral.
UAACAAGGAUUCCCCUAGUAACUGCGAGUGAAGAGGGAAAAGCUCAAAUUUAAAAUCUGGCGGGCUCUGCUCGUCCGAGUUGUAAUCUGGAGAAGCGUUUUCCGCGUCGGACCGUGCACAAGUCUCCUGGAACGGAGCGUCAUAGAGGGUGAGAAUCCCGUCCAUGGCACGGAGCGCCGAUGCUUUGUGAUACGUUUUCAAAGAGUCGAGUUGUUUGGGAAUGCAGCUCAAAACGGGUGGUAAAUUCCAUCUAAAGCUAAAUAUUGGCGAGAGACCGAUAGCGAACAAGUACCGUGAGGGAAAGAUGAAAAGCACUUUGGAAAGAGAGUUAAACAGUACGUGAAAUUGUUGAAAGGGAAACGCUUGAAGUCAGUCGCGUCCGACGGAACUCAGCCUUGCUUCGGCCUGGUGUACUUUCUGUCGGACGGGUCAACAUCAGUUUUGACCGGUGGAGAAAGGUAGGGGGAAUGUAGCGCCGUUUCGGCGGCGUGUUAUAGCCCCUUGCUGUAUGCAUCGGUCGGGACUGAGGACCGCAGCACGCCUUUUUGGCCGGGGGUUCGCCCUACGUACCGUGCUUAGGAUGUUGGCAUAAUGGCUUUAAGCGACCCGUCUUGAAACACGGACCAAGGAGUCCAACAUGCUUGCGAGUGUUCGGGUGGAAAACCCUUGCGCGUAAUGAAAGUAACAGUUGGGAACCUCCGCAAGGGGGUGCACCGACGCCCGGCCCUGAAGUUCUCUGACGGUGCUGCGGUAGAGCAAGUAUGCUGGGACCCGAAAGAUGGUGAACUAUGCCUGAAUAGGGCGAAGCCAGAGGAAACUCUGGUGGAGGCUCGUAGCGAUUCUGACGUGCAAAUCGAUCGUCAAAUUUGGG